GCUCCGUUGGUGAACCAGCGGAGGGAUCAUUACAGGACUCGCAAGACUCCUUCACCCUGUGAACCUCACUACAAGCACGUUGCUUCGGCGGGUGUCCCGGCGGGGGUUUUCCCUCGCCGGGGCGCACAGCCCGCCGGCAGCCUACCAUACUCUGUCUCUUUGCGUUGGCAUCUCGAGAAAAAACAAACAAGUUAAAACUUUCAACAACGGAUCUCUUGGUUCUG
RNAcentral lists this unclassified non-coding RNA (224 nucleotides) under plant metagenome. RNAcentral's name for it is "partial contains small subunit ribosomal RNA, internal transcribed spacer 1, and 5.8S ribosomal RNA". The record is from RNAcentral.